RNAcentral lists this ribosomal RNA (253 nucleotides) under uncultured bacterium. Its description in RNAcentral is "partial 16S ribosomal RNA". It matches the Rfam family "Bacterial small subunit ribosomal RNA", at positions 524 to 776 of the family's 1533-position model. The record is from RNAcentral.
UACAGAGGGGGCAAGCGUUGUUCGGAAUUACUGGGCGUAAAGGGCGCGUAGGCGGGCCUGUAUGUCGAUUGUGAAAUCCCAGGGCUUAACCUUGGAAUUGCAGUCGAAACUGCAGGUCUUGAAUGCCUGAGGGGAUGGCGGAAUUCCCGGUGUAGAAGUGAAAUUCGUAGAUAUCGGGAAGAACACCUGAGGCGAAGGCGGCUGUCUGGCGGUGCAUUGACGCUGAGGCGCGAAAGCGUGGGGAGCAAACAGG